Molecule: ribosomal RNA, 442 nt
Filed under: uncultured Rhodoferax sp.
Lineage: Bacteria; Pseudomonadati; Pseudomonadota; Betaproteobacteria; Burkholderiales; Comamonadaceae
Description: bacterial SSU rRNA
Rfam family: Bacterial small subunit ribosomal RNA
Source: RNAcentral
AUGAUGUGGUUUAAUUCGAUGCAACGCGAAAACCUUACCACCUUGACAUGUACGGAACCUUUAGAGAUAGAGGGGUGCUCGAAAGAGAGCCGUAACACAGGUGCUGCAUGGCUGUCGUCAGCUCGUGUCGUGAGAUGUUGGGUUAAGUCCCGCAACGAGCGCAACCCUUGUCAUUAGUUGCUACAUUCAGUUGGGCACUCUAAUGAGACUGCCGGUGACAAGCCGGAGGAAGGUGGGGAUGACGUCAAGUCCUCAUGGCCCUUAUAGGUGGGGCUACACACGUCAUACAAUGGCUGGUACAAAGGGUUGCCAACCCGCGAGGGGGAGCCAAUCCCAUAAAGCCAGUCGUAGUCCGGAUCGUAGUCUGCAACUCGACUACGUGAAGUCGGAAUCGCUAGUAAUCGUGGAUCAGAAUGUCACGGUGAAUACGUUCCCGGGUCUU